Anopheles funestus (African malaria mosquito) is the source of this 254-nucleotide long non-coding RNA. RefSeq lists it as uncharacterized. The record is from RefSeq and is a predicted model, not a curated record. Lineage: Eukaryota; Metazoa; Arthropoda; Insecta; Diptera; Culicidae. The transcript is spliced from 3 exons.
AGGGCACUUUGUACUGCAACGCGAUUAAACAAAUCAGGAAAAAUGCGCAACAACGGACAGCACCAGCGAAUGAUCCAUACCCUGAAAAUUUGCAACUUUACUGCAAAAAUCUAAUGAAUUCUUUUCCGAUUGCGACACCAUCGGAUCCACUUGGAACUACCGGCGAACUUUGAAUGGAAUGGAGAGAAUCAGAGCAUCGUACAAAAAGGAGCUUACUUUCCGCAAAUACAUUGCAGAAAACAUUGGACACGCAC